AGUGAACGCUGGCGGCGUGCCUAACACAUGCAAGUCGAACGGACGAAGAGAGCUUGCUCUCCUAGUUAGUGGCGCACGGGUGAGUAACACGUAGCUAACCUGCCCCAUAGUAAGGGACAACAGUUGGAAACGACUGCUAAUACCUUAUACUCCUUCUCUACCUAAGUAGAGUCGGGAAAGUUUUUUCGCUAUGGGACGGGGCUGCGGCCUAUCAGCUUGUUGGGGAGGUAAUGGCUCACCAAGGCUAUGACGGGUAGCUGGUCUGAGAGGAUGAUCAGCCACAUUGGAACUGAGACACGGUCCAAACUCCUACGGGAGGCAGCAGUGGGGAAUUUUACACAAUGGGCGAAAGCCUGAUGUAGCAACGCCGCGUGGAGGAUGAAGGAUUCAGGUUCGUAAACUCCUUUUAUAAGGGAAGAAAUUUGACGGUACCUUAUGAAUAAGCACCGGCUAACUCCGUGCCAGCCGCCGCCGUAA
This 477-nucleotide ribosomal RNA is filed under the name uncultured bacterium. RNAcentral describes it as "partial 16S ribosomal RNA". It matches the Rfam family "Bacterial small subunit ribosomal RNA", at positions 29 to 523 of the family's 1533-position model. The record is from RNAcentral.